This 399-nucleotide ribosomal RNA is filed under the name uncultured bacterium. RNAcentral's name for it is "bacterial SSU rRNA". It matches the Rfam family "Bacterial small subunit ribosomal RNA", at positions 30 to 429 of the family's 1533-position model. The record is from RNAcentral.
AUUGAACGCUGGCGGCAUGCUUUACACAUGCAAGUCGAACGGCAGCACGGGUGCUUGCACCUGGUGGCGAGUGGCGGACGGGUGAGUAAUACAUCGGAACGUGUCCAGAAGAGGGGGAUAACGCAUCGAAAGAUGCGCUAAUACCGCAUAUACUCUAAGGAGGAAAGCAGGGGAUCGAAAGACCUUGCGCUUUUGGAGCGGCCGAUGUCUGAUUAGCUAGUUGGUGGGGUAAGGGCCUACCAAAGCGACGAUCAGUAGUUGGUCUGAGAGGACGACCAGCCACACUGGGACUGAGACACGGCCCAGACUCCUACGGGAGGCAGCAGUGGGGAAUUUUGGACAAUGGGCGCAAGCCUGAUCCAGCAAUGCCGCGUGAGUGAAGAAGGCCUCGGUUGUAAG